AGAAUCAACGCUGGCGGCGUGCCUCAGACAUGCAAGUCGAACAAUUAAAGCUCUCUUCGGAGAGUGUAUAGAGUGGCGCACGGGUGAGUAACACGUAAGUAAUCUACCUUUGAGUGGGAAUAACGUCCGGAAACGGACGCUAAUACCGCAUAAUGCAGCGGCAUCGCAAGAUGACUAGUUGUUAAAGUAUUUAUCGCUUGAAGAGGAGCUUGCGGCAGAUUAGCGUUAGUUGGUAAGGUAAUAGGUCUUACCGAAGCUACGAUCGUGUA
Molecule: ribosomal RNA, 269 nt
Filed under: uncultured soil bacterium
Lineage: Bacteria
Description: partial 16S ribosomal RNA
Rfam family: Bacterial small subunit ribosomal RNA
Source: RNAcentral